This 560-nucleotide ribosomal RNA is filed under the name uncultured Chloroflexota bacterium. RNAcentral describes it as "bacterial SSU rRNA". It matches the Rfam family "Bacterial small subunit ribosomal RNA", at positions 338 to 916 of the family's 1533-position model. The record is from RNAcentral. Lineage: Bacteria; Bacillati; Chloroflexota.
CCUACGGGAGGCAGCAGUGGGGAAUAUUGGACAAUGGGCGCAAGCCUGAUCCAGCCAUGCCGCGUGGGUGAAGAAGGCCCUAGGGUUGUAAACCCCUUUCAGCGGGGAAGAUAAUGACGGUACCCGCAGAAGAAGUCCCGGCUAACUCCGUGCCAGCAGCCGCGGUAAUACGGAGGGGACUAGCGUUGUUCGGAAUUACUGGGCGUAAAGCGCGUGCAGGCGGUUCUGUAAGUCGGACGUGAAAGCUCCUGGCUUAACUGGGAGAGGCCGUUCGAUACUGCGGGACUUGAGGUCGGGAGAGGGACGUGGAAUUUCCGGCGUAGUGGUGGAAUGCGUAGAUAUCGGAAGGAACACCAGUGGCGAAGGCGGCGUCCUGGCCCGCACCUGACGCUAAGACGCGAAAGCGUGGGUAGCGAACGGGAUUAGAUACCCCGGUAGUCCACGCCGUAAACGGUGGAUACUAGGUGUUGGUGGCUAUCGUCAUCAGUGCCGUAGCUAACGCGUUAAGUAUCCCGCCUGGGGACUACGGCCGCAAGGCUAAAACUCAAAGGAAUUGACGG